UACGUAGGGGGCAAGCGUUAUCCGGAAUUAUUGGGCAUAAAGAGUACGUAGGUGGUUUCCUAAGCGAGGGGUUUAAGGCAAUGGCUUAACCAUUGUUCGCCCCCCGAACUGGGUAACUUGAGUGCUGGAGGGGAAAGCGGAAUUCCUAGUGUAGCGGUGAAAUGCGUAGAUAUUAGGAGGAACACCAGUGGCGAAGGCGGCUUUCUGGACAGUAACUGACACUGAGGUACGAAAGUGUGGGGAGCAAACAGGAUUAGAUACCCUGGUAGUCCCUGAGCGGGCUGGCAAGG
This 290-nucleotide ribosomal RNA is filed under the name uncultured prokaryote. RNAcentral's name for it is "partial 16S ribosomal RNA". It matches the Rfam family "Bacterial small subunit ribosomal RNA", at positions 524 to 820 of the family's 1533-position model. The record is from RNAcentral.